RNAcentral lists this ribosomal RNA (536 nucleotides) under Zenopsis conchifer. RNAcentral describes it as "partial 16S ribosomal RNA". The stretch from base 189 to 536 matches the Rfam family "Bacterial large subunit ribosomal RNA", at positions 569 to 1050 of the family's 2925-position model. Lineage: Eukaryota; Metazoa; Chordata; Actinopteri; Zeiformes; Zeidae. The record is from RNAcentral.
ACACCUAACUGCUAGCCCCCCACCCAUUUUUAAACCACCAAUAUUUAUAAUAAUAAAUAACAUAAAAACCCCCAAACAAACCAUUUUUUACCCUAGUAAAGGAGAUAGAAAAGGAAACAGGAGCAAUAGAUAAAGUACCGCAAGGGAACGCUGAAAGAAAAAUGAAACAAAUUAAAUAAGUGAAACAUAGCAGAGAUUUACCCUCGUACCUUUUGCAUCAUGAUUUAGCAAGUAAAGCUCAAGCAAAGAGACCUAUAGUUUGAGACCCCGAAACUAAGCGAGCUACUCCAAGACAGCCCAAUUGGGGCAAACCCGUCCCUGUGGCAAAAGGGUGGGAAGAUCUUUGAGUAGAGGCGAUAAACCUACCGAGCAUAGUUAUAGCUGGUUGUUUGAGAAAUGAAUAGAAGUUCAGCUCUCCAGCUUCCCAACCCCUCUUAGUAUAACUAAUAUUGGCCCCAGGAAACUAGAGAAGUUAGUUAAAGGAGGUACAGCUCCUUUUUAAUAGAAACACCUUUUACAGAUGGUCAAAGAUCAAA